GGAGCUGUGCCUGAAUAAAAGGGUCACUUUGAUAGAGUGAACUAUGAGGGUUAAAAUCCCCCCAACUCCU
Molecule: transfer RNA, 70 nt
Filed under: Leptoscarus vaigiensis (marbled parrotfish)
Lineage: Eukaryota; Metazoa; Chordata; Actinopteri; Labriformes; Labridae
Description: tRNA-Ile
Rfam family: tRNA
About the family: Transfer RNA (tRNA) molecules are approximately 80 nucleotides in length. Their secondary structure includes four short double-helical elements and three loops (D, anti-codon, and T loops).
Source: RNAcentral